Molecule: long non-coding RNA, 617 nt
Filed under: Olea europaea (common olive)
Lineage: Eukaryota; Viridiplantae; Streptophyta; Magnoliopsida; Lamiales; Oleaceae
Description: long non-coding RNA (OEUR_LNC008559)
Source: RNAcentral
CUGGAGCUAUGCAUCCUUUAGUUGUUGAAAAUCGAAAGGAUGAUGAUAAUUUUGGUUCUGACAGGCUCCUGCAGUUGGUAAAGACUACGAACUAGUAAAAUUAGACAGCUCUCCCACUCUUGUCAAGAUGGUUUAAAUACAGCCCUUGCCGCAAUCAAAAGUACAUGCUUUGGGAAUCCCUCUCAGAAGUUGACUGGCUCUUCUACAUUUGUGAGAACAUGCAACAGGAGACAAAUACACGACGCUAAAGAAUUGUAUGAACCUCUGAAUCAUCACUCUCUAAAUUUCUCUUUUAACCCUUUUUUAGCUACUCCAAAACACGUAAACCUACAGGGGCCAAGGGAACGUGAAAGUUUGCCGAACCUUGCAUAAUCUUAAUGAAUGUGUUGACUUUUAGGAAGCAUGGAAAGGUGAAGCUAGGCAACGUCGUGGCUGGAGGAAAUGAUUCAGUAUGCAAGGUGUUAUGGGUGAUUAAUCUCUACCUUUUCGACAAUUGGAUAUGUUUUAAGAGGUGGGUAAUCUUGUUAGAUUGUACGAUUAAAAAUGAGAAAAAUAACAAUCUCAAAUUUCUCAUCCUUAGAACUUUAAACUAAUGUAAUUAGUUUCCUAACACGAAC